Molecule: ribosomal RNA, 452 nt
Filed under: uncultured bacterium
Lineage: Bacteria
Description: bacterial SSU rRNA
Rfam family: Bacterial small subunit ribosomal RNA
Source: RNAcentral
UUGGAGGCAGCAGUGGGGAAUUUUGCGCAAUGGGCGAAAGCCUGACGCAGCAACGCCGCGUGGAGGAUGAAGGCCUUCGGGUCGUAAACUCCUGUCGAUGGGGACGAAAGCCUCGCGAGAGGUAUGACUGUACCCGUUGAGGAAGCCACGGCUAACUCCGUGCCAGCAGCCGCGGUAAUACGGAGGUGGCAAGCGUUGUUCGGAAUUACUGGGCGUAAAGGGCGCGUAGGCGGCCGGACAAGUCAGAUGUGAAAGCCCCGGGCUCAACUCGGGAAUUGCAUCUGAAACUGUUUGGCUUGAGUCCUGGAGGGGGUAGUGGAAUUCCCAGUGUAGCGGUGAAAUGCGUAGAUAUUGGGAGGAACACCUGCGGCGAAGGCGGCUACCUGGACAGUGACUGACGCUGAGGCGCGAAAGCUAGGGGAGCGAACGGGAUUAGAUACCCGGGUAGUCCG